This 253-nucleotide ribosomal RNA is filed under the name uncultured bacterium. RNAcentral's name for it is "partial 16S ribosomal RNA". It matches the Rfam family "Bacterial small subunit ribosomal RNA", at positions 524 to 776 of the family's 1533-position model. The record is from RNAcentral.
UACAGAGGGUGCAAGCGUUAAUCGGAAUUACUGGGCGUAAAGAGCACGUAGGCGGCGGUGCAAGUUGGGGGUGAAAUCCCGGGGCUCAACCCUGGAAUUGCCUCCAAAACUGUGCUGCUUGAGUUCGGAAGAGGAGAGUGGAAUUCCCAGUGUAGAGGUGAAAUGCGUAGAUAUUGGGAAGAACACCAGUGGCGAAGGCGGGCCUCUGGUCCGAUACUGACGCUGAGGUGCGAAAGCGUGGGGAGCAAACAGG